This 76-nucleotide transfer RNA is filed under the name Pseudozyma sp. RNAcentral describes it as "tRNA-Met". It matches the Rfam family "tRNA". Rfam says of the family: Transfer RNA (tRNA) molecules are approximately 80 nucleotides in length. Lineage: Eukaryota; Fungi; Basidiomycota; Ustilaginomycetes; Ustilaginales; Ustilaginaceae. The record is from RNAcentral.
AGCUGGAAUAGGCUAACUGGUUAAACCACGCCAUUCAUACUGGCGAAUCGAUGGGUUCGAGUCCCUCUCCCAGCUA